Molecule: small nucleolar RNA, 128 nt
Organism: Myripristis murdjan (pinecone soldierfish)
Lineage: Eukaryota; Metazoa; Chordata; Actinopteri; Holocentriformes; Holocentridae
Product: small nucleolar RNA SNORA77
Source: Ensembl
GCAGACUCACUCUGUUCUUUGCUGCUCACUUCAGCCAGGAACUUUUUCCGUCUGCUAAAAUAAUGAUCAGAACAUAGCACCUGCUGGCCUCCUGAAAGGCUAGUGUCAGUAUGUUCUGCAACAUGACA